GUCUACAGCCAGACCAUCCUGAACAUGCCCAAUCUCGUCUGAUCUUGGAAGCUAAGCAGGGUCAGGCCUGGUUAGUAUGGGAGACCGCCUGGGAAUACUGGGGACUGUAGGCU
This 113-nucleotide ribosomal RNA is filed under the name Saimiri boliviensis boliviensis (Bolivian squirrel monkey). Lineage: Eukaryota; Metazoa; Chordata; Mammalia; Primates; Cebidae. The record is from RNAcentral.